GAUGAAGAACGUAGCGAAAUGCGAUAAGUAAUGUGAAUUGCAGAAUUCAGUGAAUCAUCGAAUCUUUGAACGCACAUUGCGCCCGCCAGUAUUCUGGCGGGCAUGCCUGUUCGAGCGUCAUUUCCACCAUCAGGCCCCCGGGCCUGUGUUGGGGACCUGCGGCUGCCCGCAGGCCCCGAAAUUCAGUGGCGGUCGCGCCGUAGCAACCGAGCGUAGUAACUAAAACGUCUCGCUCUGGCUCGCUGGGCGCGCUCCGGCCGUAAAACACCCCCCCUUUUCGCAAAGGUUGACCUCGGAUCAGGUAGGAAUACCCGCCGAACUUAAGCAUAUCAAUAAGCGGAGGA
This 344-nucleotide unclassified non-coding RNA is filed under the name soil metagenome. RNAcentral describes it as "partial contains 5.8S ribosomal RNA, internal transcribed spacer 2, and large subunit ribosomal RNA". The stretch from base 1 to 120 matches the Rfam family "5.8S ribosomal RNA", at positions 35 to 154 of the family's 154-position model. The record is from RNAcentral.